RNAcentral lists this ribosomal RNA (451 nucleotides) under uncultured bacterium. RNAcentral's name for it is "bacterial SSU rRNA". It matches the Rfam family "Bacterial small subunit ribosomal RNA", at positions 28 to 521 of the family's 1533-position model. The record is from RNAcentral.
GACGAACGCUGGCGGUGUGCUUCACACAUGCAAGUCGAACGAGGUAGCAAUACCUAGUGGCGGACGGGUGAGUAACGCGUGGGAAUCUGCCUUUAGAUGGGGGAUAACGAGCCGAAAGGUUCGCUAAUACCGCAUAUGCCGCAAGGUGAAAGGAGUAAUCCGUCUGAAGAUGAGCCCGCGUCCGAUUAGCUAGUUGGUGGGUAAAGGCCUACCAAGGCGACGAUCGGUAGCUGGUCUGAGAGGAUGAUCAGCCACAAUGGGACUGAGACACGGCCCAUACUCCUACGGGAGGCAGCAGUGGGGAAUUUUACGCAAUGGGGGAAACCCUGACGUAGCGACACCGCGUGAGCGAAGAAGCCCCGUUGGGGUGUAAAGCUCUGUCAGCUGGAACGAAACAAAUGACGGUACCAGCAGAGGAAGCAUCGGCUAACUACGUGCCAGCAGCCGCGGU